AUGACUCACAUCUAUUUCUUCUUCUUUUUCAUUUCUUAUUAUCUGAAGAAUUGCUAUAAAGUCCAAAUUGGUAAAUCUCUUAUGGAAGAAGGUUGAUGCGGUUUUAGCAAAUGAUGACAGUUUAGGUCUUGGUGAUUGCCUACGUUCUAGCCCACGGCGACCCAUUGGAAAAACCAUUACUGGGGCUUUCAACAUUUCUAAAAGGGUGAGAACGGCGGCGACGGUGAUGGUGACAGAUGCCUUUCUUUUGUUCUACCCGCAGCUUUCACAACAAGCGUCAAUUAUGGCUCAUUAUAACGUCCAAGAUCUGCUAUCUUACCAUUGUUUAACUGGUGAGAAACUACUACCAAUUGAUGUGUGUUUUAGCUAUCUUUUUUACCUCACGUAAAUGUUGUUUUACAUCCGUUUUAUGUUUGUUUUUGUGCCAGUGCCCUUGAAACAGAUUCUUGUAUCAGAGUUGGAGAAGAUUGUCAAUAAGUUGCGGGUGAAAUAUAGGACAUAUCUCAUAGAGUUUGAUGUUGAACAUGUGAGCUAAUUAUAGGACGUGACCUCACCUUGCAUAAUUCGUGUAUUCUUUUCAUUAUUGCGUUGAUUAUGAUAGCAGUGUGUCCUUUAGGGAUGAUCUUUUUGAGCUUAUUUUUUUUUCUUAUCUCUUUCUCCUGAUUUUGAACAAUCUGUUUUUGCCUUAUGUUUUGGAACAUUUUAUUUAGAUCCUUGCUUGUCAAGGUUUUGUGGAUGUAAUGGAUGUUUUGAGGUGUAAUAGAUCGUCUGUUGCUAUCUAUGGUUCACGAUGGAUUAUUCCAAUCUUAUUUUAUCUAAUAUGUUUUGAUUAAUAUUGAGUUAAUAAGUUGAUAUACAUGUCACUUUUCUCCUAAAGAAGUUGAAAGGACUCGGACUCUUUUGGAAAUUUAGAAAAACAUACUUGCGGCAUAGUAAAAUGUUAUAGUUCUGCUUUGGUGAUAAUAUUCUUUUUU
This 974-nucleotide long non-coding RNA is filed under the name Medicago truncatula (barrel medic). Its description in RNAcentral is "long non-coding RNA (MTRU_LNC004600)". The record is from RNAcentral. Lineage: Eukaryota; Viridiplantae; Streptophyta; Magnoliopsida; Fabales; Fabaceae.